This 2064-nucleotide unclassified non-coding RNA is filed under the name Limulus polyphemus (Atlantic horseshoe crab). RNAcentral's name for it is "far upstream element-binding protein 1-like, transcript variant X4". Lineage: Eukaryota; Metazoa; Arthropoda; Merostomata; Xiphosura; Limulidae. The record is from RNAcentral.
UCGCCAUAUUGAGUACUACAGCAUGACGGAUUUUAAGGUUGGUUCCCAGUCUACUGGUAGUUUUGAAAGUACAGGAAGUUCUGCAUUUGCGGAUGCACUUCAGAGAGCUCGCCAAAUAGCAGCAAAGUUUACUCCCAGUGGUGGAGAUAAUAACAGUGCUGCUACUGGAACCAAGCGUCCUUUAGAAAACAAUAUGGACCCUGUUACAGAUGGUGCACCUGAUCCGAAAAAGCCUGCUGCUGUGAAUGAUCCAUUUGGUGCUCAAUUAGCAGCAAUGAAACAGCAGAUUAGUAACACUGCAUCAUCAGAUUCAACCACAAUUAUGAAUGAAGAAUACAAAGUUCCAGAUAGAUUAGUCGGUUUAAUUAUUGGACGAGGUGGAGAGCAGAUCAUGAGGUUGCAAGCUGAAUCAGGUUGUAAAAUUCAAUUAUCUUCAGAGAGUGAAGGAAAGUUGGAGAGGACUUGUGUAUUGACUGGCACUAAACAAGCUGUAGAAAAAGUUAAAGAAAUGUUAGACCAAAUUCUCAAAAGAGUAGAUAUCCAAGGACAACCAGAUGAAGGACAGAUAGUAGUAGAUAUGAUGAUCCCAGGAAACAAAGUUGGCUUAGUUAUUGGCAAAGGUGGAGAAACUAUUAGACAGUUACAGGAACAAACUGGAGCUAAAAUGAUUAUGAUUCAAGAUGGACCUCAACAAACAAUUCAUGACAAACCACUUAGGAUCACAGGAUCACCAUCUCAGUGUGAGUUUGCCAAACAACAAGUAAUGCAGUUGAUAGCAGGGAAAGAUCAAGAUGUCAGUACUCCACGGAAUGGAGAUUACCAAUAUGGAUCAGGUGCUCAAGAGCAAGUUAUGGUGCCUAAACAAGCUGUUGGAGUUGUAAUUGGGAAGAGUGGAGAAACUAUAAAGAGAAUCCAACAGGACUCUGGAGGAGCAAAGAUACAAUUUCACUUGGCAAAGGAAGAUACUCCAGGAGAGAAGUUGUGUAUGGUCACUGGAAACCCUGAGCAGGUUCAGAAGGCUGUGGAAAUCAUUCAUGAAUUGAUACAUAGUGUGAUGGUGAGAGACCAACAAUUCAUGGGAAGAGGUCGUGGACGGGGUCGUGGGUUUGAUGGUCCAGGAGGUGGUCCUAGGUUUGGACCUCCAGGUGGCCCUGGUAUGGGACGUGGAAGACCAGAUGGAGAUUUUCAGGAAGUUCAAUAUACAGUUCCAGCAAAUAAAUGUGGUCUUGUUAUAGGCAAAGGUGGGGAGACAAUUCGAAACAUCAGCCAGCAGUCUGGUGCUCAUGUGGAAUUAUCAAGAGCACCUCAACCUAAUAUUCACGAGAAAGUUUUUAUCAUUAGAGGAGCUGCACCACAGAUUGAGCAAGCUCAGCAUCUGAUCAAUGAAAAGAUUGACAUGCGUCCUUCACCUGGACAGAAUGGACCACCUCCAUAUCCUUCUUCACAAUAUCCCCAGCCAUAUCAGCAAAACCAACAGUCCUCCCAGCCAUAUGCUCCACAAGGAUGGGGUAAUUCUUACCAACAGUGGCAAAAUCAGCCUAAUGAUCCAAAUAAAGAUGCUAAUGCUGCUGCUUGGGCUGCUUAUUAUGCCCAAUACUACAACCAACAGGCACAACAUCAAACCCAGCAGCCAACACAAGCUCAGCAGCCAAAUCAGCAGAGUACUCAGCCACAUCAAACUACACAUACUAUAACAGCUGCAGGUGGCCAAGCAGACUACAGUGCUGCAUGGAUAGAGUAUUAUCGCUCAUUGGGUAUGCAUCGAGAAGCUGAUAUGAUAGAGCAACAGACAAGAGGAAAUCAACAGGUUUCCAAUAAGAAGAAACAUUAAUAGCAUCUCAACUGUACAUCUUGUGAGUACUCCACUGCCAAUGAGGCCUUUCGCUCAAUACCCGACAUACUUCAGUUGUGCCCUAUAAAUCACUCAGUUAUCCAGCAGUAUGGACAAGAAACUUCUGAGCAGUAUGGCCAGCAGCCUCAACCAACAGCAGCUACACAUCAAGGUCAAGGACAAGUACCUGCAACACAGGCUUCUCAGAACCAUCCUACUGGUGUAACAACUCC